AUUGAACGCUGGCGGCAGGCCUAACACAUGCAAGUCGAACGAGUGGCGGACGGGUGAGUUAUGUCUGGGACACUGCCCGAUGGAGGGGGAUAACUACUGGACACGGUCUCUAAUCCCGCAUUCCCUCGGAUGUGCCCAUAUGGGAUUAGCUAGUAGGUGGGGUAACGGCUCACCUAGGCGACGAUCCCUAGCUGGUCUGAGAGGAUGACCAGCCACACUGGAACUGAGACACGGUCCAGACUCCUACGGGAGGCAGCAGUGGGGAAUAUUGCACAAUGGGCGCAAGCCUGAUGCAGCCAUGCCGCGUGUAUGAAGAAGGCCUUCGGGUUGUAAAGUACUUUCAGCGAGGAGGCGUUACCCGCAGAAGAAGCACCGGCUAACUCCGUGCCAGCAGCCGCGGUAAUUC
Molecule: ribosomal RNA, 406 nt
Filed under: uncultured bacterium
Lineage: Bacteria
Description: partial 16S ribosomal RNA
Rfam family: Bacterial small subunit ribosomal RNA
Source: RNAcentral